UGCCAGCCGCCGCGGUAAUACGUAGGGUGCACGCGUUAAUCGGAAUUACUGGGCGUAAAGCGUGCGCAGGCGGCUUUUUAAGACAGGUGUGAAAUCCCCGGGCUUAACCUGGGAAUGGCGCUUGUGACUGGAAGGCUAGAGUGCGGCAGAGGGGGAUGGAAUUCCUGGUGUAGCAGUGAAAUGCGUAGAUAUCAGGAGGAACACCGAUGGCGAAGGCAGUCCCCUGGGUCGAUAUUGACGCUGAGGCGCGAAGGCGUGGGUAGCGAACGGGAUUAGAUA
This 279-nucleotide ribosomal RNA is filed under the name uncultured bacterium. Its description in RNAcentral is "partial 16S ribosomal RNA". It matches the Rfam family "Bacterial small subunit ribosomal RNA", at positions 506 to 784 of the family's 1533-position model. The record is from RNAcentral.